GGAGCUGGAGCGGAAGACCCGGCGGAUCUCGCGGGAGCAGGCCCUUUGCAAUGCAGUGCCCUCUCUCCGCAAGUUCGACAAGGAGAAGCUUGAGCGCUUAGCUGAAUGCUUCC
RNAcentral lists this non-coding RNA (113 nucleotides) under Scrippsiella hangoei. Lineage: Eukaryota; Dinophyceae; Peridiniales; Peridiniaceae. The record is from RNAcentral.